AAGUGGUAGGAAGGCCGAAGGUGACGGACCCUUCGGGAGCUUGCACAGGUGCUGCAUGGCUGUCGUCAGCUCGUGUCGUGAGAUGUUCGGUUAAGUCCGCUAACGAGCGCAACCCUCGCUGUGUGUUAUAUGUGUCACACGGGACUGCCGGUCUUAAGCCGGAGGAAGGUGGGGAUGAUGUCAAGUCAGCAUGGCCUUUAUAUCCUGGGCUACACACACGCUACAAUGGCCAACACAAUAGGUUGCUAAGCCGCGAGGUGGCGCCAAUCCAUAAAGUUGGUCUCAGUUCAGAUUGUAGGCUGCAACCCGCCUGCAUGAAGAUGGAGUUGCUAGUAACCGCAGGUCAGCUAUACUGCGGUGAAUACGUUCCCGGGGCUU
RNAcentral lists this ribosomal RNA (378 nucleotides) under uncultured Leptolinea sp. Its description in RNAcentral is "bacterial SSU rRNA". It matches the Rfam family "Bacterial small subunit ribosomal RNA", at positions 984 to 1382 of the family's 1533-position model. The record is from RNAcentral. Lineage: Bacteria; Bacillati; Chloroflexota; Anaerolineae; Anaerolineales; Anaerolineaceae.